This 253-nucleotide ribosomal RNA is filed under the name uncultured bacterium. RNAcentral describes it as "partial 16S ribosomal RNA". It matches the Rfam family "Bacterial small subunit ribosomal RNA", at positions 524 to 776 of the family's 1533-position model. The record is from RNAcentral.
UACGUAGGGGGCAAGCGUUGUCCGGAAUCAUUGGGCGUAAAGAGCGUGUAGGCGGCCAGAUAAGUCCGCUGUGAAAUCUCGAGGCUCAACUUCGAGCUGUCGGUGGAAACUGUCUGGCUAGAGUCCGGAAGAGGAGAAUGGAAUUCCUGGUGUAGCGGUGAAAUGCGCAGAUAUCAGGAAGAACACCCGUGGCGAAGGCGGUUCUCUGGGACGGUACUGACGCUGAGACACGAAAGCGUGGGGAGCGAACAGG